This is a long non-coding RNA of Agrilus planipennis (emerald ash borer), 207 nucleotides long. RefSeq lists it as uncharacterized. Lineage: Eukaryota; Metazoa; Arthropoda; Insecta; Coleoptera; Buprestidae. The record is from RefSeq and is a predicted model, not a curated record. The transcript is spliced from 3 exons.
AAAAAGUGUUUGGGUUGAGUACAUACAACUGGCUUUGGAAAAUAAGCCAUUGAAUUUGGGACAAGGUUUUCCUGACUAUGCACCCCCUGAAUAUAUUACAAAAGCCCUAGCUGAUGUUGCAAGAAGUCCUGACCCUUUGUUACAACAAUAUACUCGUGGUUUUGGCCAUCCUCGUUUGAUAGCAGUUCUGGCAAAACUAUACUCCAU